Molecule: ribosomal RNA, 210 nt
Filed under: uncultured bacterium
Lineage: Bacteria
Description: partial 16S ribosomal RNA
Rfam family: Bacterial small subunit ribosomal RNA
Source: RNAcentral
UACGUAGGGCGCAAGCGUUUGUCCGGAAUUAUUGGGCGUAAAGAGCUCGUAGGCGGUUUGUCGCGUCUGCUGUGAAAACCUAAGGCUCAACCUUGGGCUUGCAGUGGGUACGGGCAGACUAGAGUGUGGUAGGGGAGACUGGAAUUCCUGGUGUAGCGGUGAAAUGCGCAGAUAUCAGGAGGAACACCGAUGGCGAAGGCAGGUCUCUGG